GCCCUUCUUCUUCAUGCUUCUCUCUCACCCCUACCUCUCUUGUUUCUGCUCGUAUGGUCUUGAGAGCAGAAUCUCUUUCUUUUUUGUCCCUUCCAACCAACGUCCAUUCGUCUCCUCCAUAUCCACAUUUGCCUCAAGUCUAUAUAUAGCUGUCGCUUCUUAGCUGAACUCCUACAGGCUGCCGCCUGCCGCCUGCUGCCCUCCGUCAGUUCGCUCGACCUCUACCUGCCAGGGUAUCUAGCUAUCUUGAAAACAAACACAUCCAUCGAUUCUAUAACCAUCUCUCUCUCUGUGUCGCUUUCUCUUUCUCUCUCUGGCUCUCUCUCCCCCCUCCAGUUUCUCAAAAUCUCUCACUCGGUCUCUAAACUGGCUCAGACGAAAGCCAGGUUGUCCUCCAAACGGACUGGUGUUGCAAUAUGCAAACUUCACGAACAAGCGCGACGACGAAAAUUACGUACCAUCCCGCCUCUUGAGUGAUGAAUAAGUAAAUAAUAACGAUAAGGAUUCAAAGGAAGGAAGCGAAAGAAGAAGCUUGAAGAAGGGGAGGAAAAGAGGAAGAAUUGUCUUUUGGGAUUAUAUAUUGUUUUUCUUUCUUUUCUUUUUUUUUUAAAAAAAUAAUUAUUUUCUGUCGUUGUGUGAGCUGAGCGAUACGAAGCAGGUGAGCCCGACAUAUAAUUAAAUAAUAAUUAUAUGCGCAGUGCUCCACACCUAGGCAUAGAUUCCCAAGGGGGAGCUUUGACCCUUGGGGUGGUUAAGUUCUUGCCAGCUAUCCUUAAGGUUGCAGCAAACUGUCCCCCAAGCCAGCC
RNAcentral lists this small RNA (806 nucleotides) under Histoplasma capsulatum. Its description in RNAcentral is "hypothetical RNA". The record is from RNAcentral. Lineage: Eukaryota; Fungi; Ascomycota; Eurotiomycetes; Onygenales; Ajellomycetaceae. RNAcentral also lists the same sequence under 1 other name.